UUUCGAAUCAGUGGAUACAGAG
Molecule: non-coding RNA, 22 nt
Filed under: Arabidopsis thaliana (thale cress)
Lineage: Eukaryota; Viridiplantae; Streptophyta; Magnoliopsida; Brassicales; Brassicaceae
Source: RNAcentral